ACGGGGGGAGCAAGCGUUGUUCGGAUUUACUGGGCGUAAAGGGCGCGUAGGCGGCCACCGCAAGUCGACUGUGAAAUCUCCGGGCUUAACCCGGAACGGUCAGCCGAUACUGCGGGGCUAGAGUGCAGAAGGGGCAACUGGAAUUCUCGGUGUAGCGGUGAAAUGCGUAGAUAUCGGGAGGAACACCUGUGGCGAAGGCGACCCCCUGGUUGGAUACUGACGCUGAGACGCGAAAGCGUGGGGAGCAAACAGGA
RNAcentral lists this ribosomal RNA (254 nucleotides) under uncultured prokaryote. Its description in RNAcentral is "partial 16S ribosomal RNA". It matches the Rfam family "Bacterial small subunit ribosomal RNA", at positions 525 to 777 of the family's 1533-position model. The record is from RNAcentral.